GGUGGCAGGGAAGGGGCUGGGCAGCUUCCUUUGGAAAUACAAAGGCCUUUCAUUGGAAUGGGAAAGAAAAAAGCCGAAAGCCGAAUAGGUGGCUUUGAAGGCCUGCAAAUGCAGCCAGCUGAAACUUUCAGCAGCCAUUUGGAAAAUGACAGACUCCACUCAGUCCAUCCCCAUCCAUUCUCCCUGCCAGCUGCUUUCCCAUCAAGCCAGCGGAGACAACUCUCUAUCUGAGGCAAAGCCCAUCAAUGAUUAUCCGCCAACUGCCAGACUGCUAGUGGCACACCCAUCGGCACGUGAGCAGCAGGUGUCUGGGGUGUAACAAACUGAGACUGAGAUCGCCUGAGGGACAGAAACAAUACUACAGGCCAGUACUGAAGAACCAGGAGCCAGACCAAAGAGGCAGCAACUUCUCAACCCCGAUAAACUGAGAAGGGCAGCAAUGAGGAGGCGAAAGAGUUGGAAAAAAGACAGACAUCAAUCACUGGGAAACAUUGAUCAUGAUCUCGCCAGAGCUUUGCAUGGACAGGAAGAGCCCAGGUAUUCCCUCAGAGGGCCAACCUCGUCAUUCUCCUCAAGAGCACUUGGCCUGCAUAGAUGGAAGAGCCUGGAAAUUUCCCAAGGUCAUGAUUACUGGAACUUGAAAUUCCCAGCAAAUCAGUGUAUGUAUGCAUGAUAGCAUACGACAGGACUUGCUACUGGCUGGGUUUCCUGGAAAGCAGACUCUGAGAUGGUCCUGCAUUUGCAAGACACUUAUUAUGGUUUGGGAACCAACACCAUAGAAGGGAAGGAGAAGCAGCUGAUUAGGCAGGCAGAG
This 814-nucleotide long non-coding RNA is filed under the name Heterocephalus glaber (naked mole-rat). Its description in RNAcentral is "lncRNA (ENSHGLG00000044315.1)". Lineage: Eukaryota; Metazoa; Chordata; Mammalia; Rodentia; Bathyergidae. The record is from RNAcentral.